UUAGACCUAAACCUUCAGCCGCUUUCAUUCUUCUCCUUCACGCUUUCUCUUCUCUCCAAACCUUAAACGAUCCUUUCCUUCAUCCAGUUCUUCCUUCAUCGAUGCAUCAAUAUUGCUUAAUCGCCGUUACCACCAGAAACUUGGAUUAUCUUCUUAUUUUUUGUUGUGGAGACAACCGACAUAAACCCUAAGUUAAGGGUUCUGAUGAUUGGAACAAAAUGUUAAGAGCUUUGUUUGAAAGGUAUGUUAUUUGAUUAGAUUUGCAUUUUCAUUACAUAAUUAGGUUAAAUUUGUUCGUUAACAUGUUGAUUUUGAUUCUGAUUAAAUCUCAUCUGUUUUUAGGGUUUUUUUUUUAUUUGAGGGCUGCGUUUUUGGUUUUGAGUCUGCUUGGAUUUGGCGCAUACUCAAAAAAGGUCCGAUUUGAAUCUGAUUUUUUUUUUGUGGUGACCAGCGAUUGACAUACUUGGUAUGGGGAUUGGGGACACCUUCUAUCCUAGCAAUGAAUAAGAUCCUUAUCUUAAAAAUACAAAUGAUAAUGACUCCGAAGAAGAGGCUGAAGACAUGGUCGUCAAACCCGAAGAUGCUGUUGUAUUUGUGCACAUGUUAAGGAUUAGCAGGGUCGGUUAUUGGAGGCAAGAAGGCUUGGAUUUGUUAUAUGUUAUAAAAAGGGUAUGGUUCCUUCUUGUAGAAAAGAAAGGGAAUAUAUUAUCAUCAUAUCAUCAGCCUCUUUUAUGGGAGAAACUACCAACAAACGUUGGGUUCCCAUUCAAAACAAGUAUUUCAGUUCCUAAAUUACCCCUUCUGAAGUUGAAAAUUAUGAAUAGUAUUAUUCUUUUGCAUUUUUGAACUCCAGAUAAUUGGUGUUACACCUAAGAUGUUGACAUAAUUUGUUUAAAGCUUCCUACAGGAAUUCCACAGGAUGAAUUAUACGAAGACUUUCAAUCAUCAUUUAUCAAGAGGUGGCAAUUUUGGCAGGAUGAGUAACUGGGCCGGGUACAGUAAAUGUCUCAAUCGGACAAUAUCAAACCUCAAAAAAAAAGUCUGACUGGUGUGUGCAGUAAAGUAUACAAUAAACAACUGGUAGCAAACUUGCAGGAAAAAAACCAUCUUUUUGUUCAUAUACCGGAAUCAAGUGACUCGUGUGUAAACCAAGACGACUCAACCUAUUUUAGGGUCUCAAGCGAAAUUUAGCCGGGAAGGUAACACCAAAAAGUGUCAUGUACAUCUUUAGCACUCUCUUGCUUGACCUUUUUAGUGGGAAACACAAUUCACCUAGCCAUACCAUUUGAGAAAUUCUUCAAAAGAAGCUUCAUUGGUUGCUAAGAUCAAUAUUAGUGGAAACUACAAGUUUGACAAGUUGCUACUAGAGAUUAAACGAUGCAGGUUAAGAGCACUUGUACUAUUUCAGAGAAAUUUGAACUCGAUGGUUGACUUUCUGUUGGGAGAUUCGAAGAAGAAACUGCGUUUUCUGUGGAGAUCUUCAACCACAUGCUAUUUGGCAUUAAAACCAAAGGUGAAAGGAACUAGAGGGGAGUAUUUUGAGGCGGUGUGGUGUAAUGUUUAAUAUUGUGUUUAUAUUUUGUGUGAAUAUUGUGAAUGAGUAUUUGAUGCUAUUUUUGCAUGAUUUUGAUCGAAGUGGACGAUGUGGUGUAAUAUGUUUGUAUCCAGUUACAUGCAAUGAUGUAUUUGAGCAUAUAUUAAAAAUAAAAAGAUUUUAAAGUUUAGACUGUAUA
Molecule: RNA transcript, 1733 nt
Organism: Helianthus annuus (common sunflower)
Lineage: Eukaryota; Viridiplantae; Streptophyta; Magnoliopsida; Asterales; Asteraceae
Exons: 10
Source: RefSeq, a predicted model, not a curated record